This 597-nucleotide ribosomal RNA is filed under the name Varencya sp. BMNH 671503. RNAcentral's name for it is "partial 16S large subunit ribosomal RNA". It matches the Rfam family "Bacterial large subunit ribosomal RNA", at positions 1861 to 2735 of the family's 2925-position model. The record is from RNAcentral. Lineage: Eukaryota; Metazoa; Arthropoda; Insecta; Coleoptera; Scarabaeidae.
GCCCAAUGAGAGUUUAAAUGGCCGCGGUAAAUUGACCGUGCAAAGGUAGCAUAAUCAUUAGUUUUUUAAUUGGAAGCUGGAAUGAACGGUUGGACGAGGGAAUAACUGUCUCAAUUUAAUUUAAUUAGAAUUUUAUUUUUAAGUAAAAAAGCUUAAAUAAUUUUAAAAGACGAGAAGACCCUAUAGAGUUUUAUAUGAGUAUAUAAGUAGGUAAAUAGGUAUAAUCUAUUCUAUUUAAAUAUUAAUAUUUUGUUGGGGUGACAGAAAAAUUUAAUUAACUUUUUUUUUAUUAAAUCAUUAAUUUAUGAUUCAAUGAUCCGUUUAAGAACGAUUACAAGAUUAAAUUACCUUAGGGAUAACAGCGUAAUUUUUUUUAAGAGUUCUAAUCGAAAAAAGAGUUUGCGACCUCGAUGUUGGAUUAAAAUUAAUUUUUGGUGUAGGGGCUAAAAAAAUUAGGUCUGUUCGACCUUUAAAAUUUUACAUGAUCUGAGUUUAAACCGGCGUGAGCCAGGUUGGUUUCUAUCUUUAAAAAAAUAGGAUAUUUUAGUACGAAAGGACCUAAUAUUCAUUAUAUUAAUUAGUUUUUGAUUAUUAUUG